UACGGAGGGUGCGAGCGUUGUCCGGAAUCAUUGGGCGUAAAGCGCGUGUAGGCGGUUCGGUAAGUCGGCUGUGAAAGUCCAGGGCUCAACCCUGGGAUGCCGGUCGAUACUGCCGGACUAGAGUUCGGAAGAGGCGAGUGGAAUUCCCGGUGUAGCGGUGAAAUGCGCAGAUAUCGGGAGGAACACCAAUGGCGAAGGCAGCUCGCUGGGACGUUACUGACGCUGAGACGCGAAAGCGUGGGGAGCAAACAGG
Molecule: ribosomal RNA, 253 nt
Filed under: uncultured bacterium
Lineage: Bacteria
Description: partial 16S ribosomal RNA
Rfam family: Bacterial small subunit ribosomal RNA
Source: RNAcentral